Molecule: ribosomal RNA, 1269 nt
Filed under: Arripis georgiana (Australian ruff)
Lineage: Eukaryota; Metazoa; Chordata; Actinopteri; Scombriformes; Arripidae
Description: partial 16S ribosomal RNA
Rfam family: Bacterial large subunit ribosomal RNA
Source: RNAcentral
UUUGCAUUAUGACUUAGCGAGCAUCAUCCAAGCAAAGCGUCCUUUAGUUUGGCCCCCCGAAACUACGUGAGCUACUCCAAGGCAGCCUGCCAUGAAGGGCAAACCCGUCUCUGUGGCAAAAGAGUGGGAAGAACUUUGAGUAGAGGUGAAAUACCUACCGAACCUAGUUAUAGCUGGUUGUCUGAGAAAUGGAUAUGAGUUCAGCCUCCAGGCUUCCCUUUUCACCACGGUUUUUUACUCCACCGAUAACUUGAGAAACCAGGAGAGUUAGUCAAAGGGGGUCCAGCCCUUUUGACMCAAGACACAACUUUUCCAGGUGGGUAAAGAUCAUAAUAUUUUAAGGUUUUAUGUUCCAGGUGGGCCUGAAAGCAGCCAUCCUCUCUGAAAGCGUUAAAGCUCGAACAUCCAACCGCAACCAUAUAUUCAGAUAAUUUAAUCCAAGCCCCCUAACAUUAUCAGACCAUCUCAUGCAAACAUGAGAGUGCACAUGCUAAGAUGAGUAAUAAGAGAGCACCUGACUCUCUCCUCGCACAGGUGUAAAUCAGAACGAACCCCCACCGAAAAUUAACGGUCCCAAACAAAGAGGGUAAUGGACGCACAAUGUGAACAACCAGAAAACCAUCCAAAAGAAACCGUUAACCCUACACCGGUGUGCCCACAAGGAAAGACUAAAAGAAGGAAAAGGAACUCGGCAAACACCAAGCCUCGCCUGUUUACCAAAAACACCGCCUCUUGCAUUACAAGAAUAAGAGGUCCAGCCUGCCCAGUGACUAUAAGUUCAACGGCCGCGGUAUUUUAACCGUGCAAAGGUAGCGUAAUCACUUGUCUUUUAAAUGAAGACCCGUAUGAAUGGCUAGACGAGGGCUUAACUGUCUCUUCCUUCAGGUCAAUGAAAUUGAUCUCCCCGUGCAGAAGCGGGGAUAGAACCAUAAGACGAGAAGACCCUAUGGAGCUUCAGACACUCGAGCAUAUCAUGUUAAACACCCUAAAACAAAAGGUUAAACUUAGUGAAUAAAUGCUGCCGUGUCUUCGGUUGGGGCGACCCCGGGGAAACAAAAAACCCCCGUGUGGAAUGAGAGUACUAUCUCCCAAAGCUAAGAGCUGCCGCUCAAAUAAUCAGAACUUCUGACCAAAACAGAUCCGGCAAGACCGAUUAACGGACCAAGUUACCCUAGGGAUAACAGCGCAAUCCCCUUUUAGAGCCCCUAUCGACAAGGGGGUUUACGACCUCGAUGUUGGAUCAGGACAUCCUAAUGGUGCAACCGCUAU